CAGCCGCGGUAAUACGGAGGGUGCAAGCGUUAAUCGGAAUUACUGGGCGUAAAGCGCACGCAGGCGGUCUGUCAAGUCAGAUGUGAAAUCCCCGGGCUUAACCUGGGAACUGCAUUUGAAACUGGCAGGCUAGAGUCUUGUAGAGGGGGGUAGAAUUCCAGGUGUAGCGGUGAAAUGCGUAGAGAUCUGGAGGAAUACCGGUGGCGAAGGCGGCCCCCUGGACAAAGACUGACGCUCAGGUGCGAAAGCGUGGGGAGCAAACAGGAUUAGAUACCCCUGUAGUCCCUGUCUCUUAUACACA
RNAcentral lists this ribosomal RNA (301 nucleotides) under uncultured bacterium. RNAcentral's name for it is "partial 16S ribosomal RNA". It matches the Rfam family "Bacterial small subunit ribosomal RNA", at positions 512 to 810 of the family's 1533-position model. The record is from RNAcentral.